GACGAACGCUGGCGGCGUGCCUAAUACAUGCAAGUCGAACGCAGUGGGGAUGGGUGCGUAACACGUGGGUAACCUCCCAUCAGAGGGGAUAACACUUGGAAACAGGUGCUAAACCGCUACUGAUGGAUGGACCCGCGGUGCAUUAGCUAGUGGGUGGGGUAACGGCCUAACAAGGCCACGAUGCAUAGCCGGCCGGAGAGGGUGAGCGGCCACACUGGAACGGAGACACGGCCCAGACUCCUACGGGAGGCAGCAGUAGGGAAUCUUCGGCAAUGGACGAAAGUCUGACCGAGCAACGCCGCGUGAGUGAAGAAGGUUUUCGGAUCGUAAAACUCUGUUGUUAGAGAAGCGGUAUCUAACCAGAAAGCCACGGCUAACUACGUGCCAGCAGCCGCGGUAAUUC
RNAcentral lists this ribosomal RNA (403 nucleotides) under uncultured bacterium. Its description in RNAcentral is "partial 16S ribosomal RNA". It matches the Rfam family "Bacterial small subunit ribosomal RNA", at positions 28 to 526 of the family's 1533-position model. The record is from RNAcentral.